UGUCGGUAAACUUGACGCGCUCAAAGGU
Molecule: small RNA, 28 nt
Filed under: Bombyx mori (domestic silkworm)
Lineage: Eukaryota; Metazoa; Arthropoda; Insecta; Lepidoptera; Bombycidae
Description: ovarian small RNA-9028
Source: RNAcentral